GCACUCACCUAUCCACUAAACAGCAACUUCAAUGUUGAAAGAUUUUAUUAGUUUUAAUAAAAUCUUUCAACAUUGAAGUUGCUGUUUAGUGGAUAGGUGAGUGC
Pelobates cultripes (western spadefoot toad) is the source of this 104-nucleotide non-coding RNA. The record is from the annotation of a GenBank genome assembly. Lineage: Eukaryota; Metazoa; Chordata; Amphibia; Anura; Pelobatidae.